AGCAGCGUGGCUCAGUGGAAAGAGCACGGGCUUGGGAGUCAGAGGUCAUGAGUUCAAAUCCCAGCUCUGCCA
This is a non-coding RNA of Ornithorhynchus anatinus (platypus), 72 nucleotides long. The record is from Rfam. Lineage: Eukaryota; Metazoa; Chordata; Mammalia; Monotremata; Ornithorhynchidae.